CGCUGCUCGCUGAACGCAGAGGGUGGGGCAGGAGCGCCCCCCGUGUGGGGACGUGCGGGCAGCAUUGUGACGGGACCCCACCCAGUGCUUCCAAAGGCCCUCCCCCUCUGCUGGAAGGUGCACGAGACAGCUCCAAGUCAGAGCGAGGCCCCGUGUGCCGCUGCCCGUGUCGGGUGUUGCAAGCACUGGCAUCGGUGGCCCCACCGUCCCCUUCAGGCUUUGCCAGUCUGCGGCAGCAGAUGCUUCGGGUCCCGGGACGGGCACAGCAGUGGCACCCGGGGACUGACUGCCUGCAGACUGUCAUUUGCUCCCAGCCUGGAGGGAUCCUGGGUGAGGACCUCCUUGCAAUGCAGCGGUAGCUGCUGCUUUACUGGGCCUCUGGGGCUCCGCGUGGCUGCAGUGUGUGCUGUUCAGAGCCAGGGCUCAGCGCCCGGGAGAACAGCACAAGUGUCCCGGAGUCCGCCAUGCCUACUUUCUGGGAUGGUCAGUGCAGGCCAUUUCAGGGGGAACCGCCUCGUUCCAGCCAGAGCACCCCAGAUGUCUACCCGAUGACUGCCUUCCCCCGGGAAUCCUGGAGCAAGCUUCAUGGAAAAAUCCCAUCAGACGUGAGGUUCCGCCUUCCAUCCCACACAGGGCGACUCAGCCUCCUGCUCCUACGCACGUCCUGGAAAUCAUUCAGUGGUGGGAGGAGAGUGAGCCCCGUGAGGGAAGGAUUGUCCUCCAAACCGCCCCCACCCCGCGACUCCGGGCCACCCCACAAGGGUUCACUGAGCACCAGCUGUGCACCCGGCUCUGCUGAGUGUGGCGACGCCGCGCUGCGCAGGCGGCCAUGGCCCUGCCUCCCGGAACGCGGCAGGAUUCCCCAUCAAGUGCAUUUCCGACACGACCAGCUCCGUACUGCCGCGCCUCCUCCUCUGCUGCCAGCACGGAGGAUUUUGUCUGCCGCAGAUCUUAGUAGAAACCAGUGAUGGGCACUCACAGCCGAAGUGGCUGCUUCUCAUUUCCUGUUGCGUCUCACCUUUCACCCAUACCCCAGAGGAAAACGGCCGCGAUGGAGACGUCCGACUUGGGGUAGGGCCAGGAGAAUAUCGGAGGGAGAGCUCUUCUGGGUCCCCUACACAGAGACGCUGGGGUGCUAACCAAUACUGGUUUUGAGAUGAGGGCUUCCCAGCGGGUGGAAGUCCCAGCUCCUGCUACGUGAGUGUUGGCAGCAGCGUCUUCUGAUGUCGUGGGGUUGAGCUGAGGUUCUACAGGAGUGGGGCUGGGCCCGUGACCCACAGGGACUGAUGUUCUUUGGGAGAGAAGGCACAGGCAGCCGAGCUUAGGAGGAGGACAGCCCCGUGUAGACGGAAGCAGGGGUCGGAGCUUCGUGGCUGCAGCCAAGGAAUCCCAAGGGCUGGGGGCUGCUGCGGGAGCCGGGAGACAGGCCUGGCACGGGCCCCGUCCUGGAGGCAGCCCGGCCCUGCAGACGCCUUGAGGAAUGUGUGGACGUCUGUGCUUCAAAGGCGCCAGGUGUGCGGUAAUCUGUUAUGGCAGCCGCAGGAAGUAUCCGGACACCUGGGAAGUCAGCCCAGCUGCGGGGGACACCGCUUGCAGCCCGGACGUCCCGGACUGGAGUGCCAGUUCCAGUCCCGGCUGCUCCACUUCCCAGUCAGCUCCCUGCUAAUGGUCCUGGGAAAGCAGCAGAAGAUGGCCCGAGUGCUUGGACUUCCGCCACCCGUGUGGGGGACCAGGAUGGAGUUCCUAGCUCCUGGCUUCAUCCUGGCCACUGUGGCCACUUGGGAAGUGAACCAGGGAAUGGAAGAUUCUCUCUAAGUCUGCCUUUCAAAUAUAUAUAUAUAUAUACACACACACACACACACAUAUGUAUAUACAUAUAUAUGCACACACACAUAUGUGUAUAUAUAUAUAGUGAGAGAGAGAGAGAGAGAGAGAGAACGCUCACCUCGGGGCCGACACUGAGGCCUUUCCUACUCCCAGGUUACUCGUCCUCUGGGUGAUGGCACCAGCAGGGCGAGGCCCAGCAAUGCACAGCCGGGAGGAGUUGUGCCCGCAGGGGAGCCGAGUCCUAGUGCACACAGGAACCUCCCUGCUCCCUUGCCCACCGCCUGGAGGAGGACCACGGCUGUAGUAGCUAAGCAAGUAGCUCAGAAGAGUGGAGAGAAAUUAGGAGCCGCAGGUGGAUUUUCCCUAGGAACGCGAGAACUGCUCGUCAGUCCACCGUCGGGUGGACCCACAGCCCGGUGGGGUUUGCAUUUCCGCUGCGUUGUGCUCUCAGACCCUGGAGCCCUCUCUCCCACAAGCCGCUGUCAGAGCCGUGCGUGGGACUUCGGGGACAUCUGGCCACGGAACUCACACAACACGGAGCUCGGACACAACUGCGCACGGCUCAGUGACUUGGAAAUAGAACUACCUUCCUGUAAGGAAUGACUUGUCGUCUGUGAGGAUAACGAGAGUGGGAUACUCAGUCUGUGUCCAGAGACCGCAACAUGUUCGUGCCUUUUCUCCAAAUGCAGCACUUUGGGAAUAUUACGGGUCUUCACGCUGAGGUCAGUCUGCCCCGUGAAGGCUCGGAGCUUGCAAGAGAAGCACACACCGGGCGUGUCCGAGGAGCGUCUGGACGAGUCUCAGGUGCACCCGGGGUCUGUUCUAACCCACCUGGAGCGACCUUGAGCCAGCCUGUGUUCUUUGCACAUUCCUCAUCCAAUCCCAGAAGUAUCCUUCUCAAAAAUGAUCAGUGUUUUCCUUUUCAGCAGAUCCAGCCUCUGAAGAUGGAACCCAUUAGGUUCUAAAAAUAGCAAUCCCCAACCACGAGAAACUCACCUGGCUGACGGCUGACGUGGAGCCUGCCUUCUCAGGCCAGGCCCAGGUCCUCAGUGUGCAGCGAGGCACAGACAGGUACCCUCCCGGAAUCCAGGCGGUCAGCCGCCUUGGAGCCCUCCCCAAGACCCUGUGGAAGUUGCUGGCUCGGGUCUCCCGGGCCUGGUCACUCCUGUUCCGCCCUGGAUGAACCUUCUCUUCACCUUUUCUCACAGUGCGUUUGUCGGCUCCACAGUAGGGUAGGAUUAUGGGUGGUGGUGCAGCAGAGCAAUGGAAACUAUAAAUGGCCCCCAGACAGGGACUGGCUGAGCACCUUGUGAUACAUCCAUAGGUGGGACGCUCCUAGGUCAUCAGCAUUCAGCUUUGAGGAAACGAUGCCCAAGCCGUGUAAUCCCAGUUUCACUGUAACAGCAGUGAAAGGGCAUGACAACACCAUGGGUGGUUCCAAUGUGCUUCCUUUGGGAUUUCUGGAAAUUUCAUGUCUUUUUUUUCCUUUACAAUGAAUAUUAAUUCUUUUUUUAAAAAUCUUUUAAUUUUAAUAUAAUUUUAAGUUUACAAAAUGGUGAAGUUGUGCCGUCCGUACACCCCACAGCCAGUUCCCCUCUUGUUAACAUCGCAUGCUAGUGUCAUCUAUCUCUCAUGACUAAUGAGCCACACCAGCUUCCCCUGCUAUAUUAAUCCAAAUUCCUUCUCCCCCAUCCCGGCCUCCGGAAUCAACAUUUUGUGUUCAUAUUGAGAUUUGUUUUUUUAAACCUUCGUCAGAUAAGGUAUUCGUCUUCCUGUGUCUGACUUAUUUCACUUAAAAUGAUGACCUCAAGUUCAAUCAUUUGCUGCAAAUGACAAGAUUUCAUUCUUGUCUUCUAUUGUGUGUGUGCCAUACGUUUUCUUCACUCAUCCGUCUGCUGAUGGAUGUCCUGGCUCACUCCCUACUCUGGCCAUUGUGAAUAGGGAUGCUGUAACAUAUCCCUUUGAUACAAUGAUUUCAUGUCUUUUUGUCUAUAGGGGUGAGAUUACUGGGUCAUGUGGGGUUCUACUGCUAGUUUGUUAAGAAAUCACCACACUGUUUUCCAACAGUAUAUUAGAGUUCCCCUUUUUUCACAUCCUCAUCAACAUUUGUUACUUUCUGCCCCUUUGUAAUAUAAAGAGAGUCGCUUAUUGAGCUAUAUAAAGAUUGUAGCCGAUUGCUGGGUGUAGUUCUGUGAGUUUGAGCAUUUGUCUACAGCGGGUGAUUGACAUGAACCUUUCCCACGGCCCUGUUUGGGCUGAGAACUGCCCUGUGCCCUCUGAAGGGUCAGUGGGGUCUGCAGAAAUAAGCUAAGCGAUUGACAGGAGAAAAGGCACACACCUGGCUGCCGUGCGUGCGAGGGAGACCCCAAGGAGGGCCAGGGCCUGGCACUUAAACAGCUACAGGAAGGGGCAGAGGUGGGGCAACCCAAGGAGCAGAGGCCACCGUGUUGUGAGCUGCAGCCCCUUGGGGCCCAGGUGGGCGCUGGGCGGAGGCUGGGAGCGGCGUCGGACUCUUGGCCUCUCUCUGCUGUCUGAGGAGAUCCUGGGGACAGUCCCUGACAGUGCCAUGGCGGGAAGAAUUGCCCAUGGCCCAGCUCUUUGGGAGGAAAGGAGGGCGGUGAGAGGUCAGAGAGACCUCGGCUCUCCUUUAGAACAAAGCGUGGGGCAGGCUGCCGCAUCACACCUUGGGGUGCGGCUUUCUGAGCUCCGGGAACGCCCCCGGAGACCCCCUGUGGGCUCGGAAAAUGACACCCCGAAGCCUGACGUGUUGCCACGCUGGGCGCUUUGAAUGAAAACUGUGCCGGCCACUAGGUCUCUCUGACCUUCCCGGCGGCCCCCUCCCAGGCGGCAGCGGGGCUGGGGCUGGGGCUGGGCGGGGCUUCUCUCUGCUAUUCCCCUGUCUGUCAAUGGGGGCAUAACUGAAUUCUAAUCUCCGAGAUGCGAUUAAGCAGGGAAGAGGAGGGAAGGCGAGGGCUGGGACAGACUUUGUCGCAGCCGCUGUCUGCUCUUCAGCCCAUCCGACCCCCAGACAGACUCACGUACACGCUACCGUCCCUUCUUGAGCCCCUUCGAUUCCCGUGGGAAUCAUCUCCCAGCCCUCACGGCGGCCUGCGGGGAGGGAUAGAGAAGUUCUGAAGCGCACUGGUCUGGGGGUGCUCGCCUUGCUCUGCUGUUAUGUGCAGGAGUAGAAUUGCAUGCCUUUUCUCCCCCUGCCUGUUGUCAGCUCGCUUCAGCAAAGCCUUCAGGGGGUGGAGGAGGAAUGUGCCUUUCCUCUGCUCCAUGGUCUGCUACUACUGCUUUGCCCGUUCUUUCCUCUGCUCCAUGGUCUGCUACUACUGCUUUGCCCGUUCUAGAGCAGUAUCCAGGGGCCAGCAUUGUGGUGCAGCGGGUCAAGCCACUUCCUGCAGUGCUGGCAUCCCACAUAGGCACGGGUUCGAGUCCUGGAUGCUCUGUGUCUGACCCCGCUCCCUACUAAUGCCCCCGGGAAAGCAGCAGAAGAUGGCCCAAGUGCUUGGGCCCCUGCACCCACGGGGGAGACCCAGAUGGCGUUCCAAGUGUCUGGUUUCAGCCUGGGCCAGCCCCAGCCACUGAGGACAUUUGGGGAGUGAACCAGUGGAUGGGAGACAUGUCUCUCUCUCUCUCUUGCUGUUUUCCCCUCUGUCUCUGUAACUCUGCCUUUCAAAUAUAUAAAUAAAUCUUAAAUAAAUAGAAUAUGGCAUAGAGCUGAAUAGCACAUAGUGUUUCAGGUGUGUUUUUUAUAUCUCAAUAUACCUUGAGGCUCCUCCAUUGACUUCCAGGUCCCAGAUGAGACAAAAUCAUUCAUGCCGGCCGGCGCUGCGGCUCACUAGGCUAAUCCUCUGCCUGCGGCACUGGCACCCCGGGUUCUAAUCCCGGUUGGGGUGCCGGUUCAGUCCCUGUUGCUCCUCUUCCAGUCCAGCUCUCUGCUGUGGCCCGGGAAUGCAGUGGAGGAUGGCCCAAGUCCUUGGGUCCUGCACCCCUUGGGAGACCAGGAGAAGCACCUGGCUCCUAGCUUUGGAUCAGCGCAGCUCCGGCCGUAGCGGCCAUUGAGGGGUGAACCAACGUUAGGAAGACCUCUCUCUCUGUCUCUCUGUCUCUCACUGUCUAAUUCUGCCUGUCAAAAAAACUCAUUCAUGCCUCACCCUGUCAGUCGGGGUUACCAUUCCUUCCAGUGGACAGCACUGUGGACCCACUAAUAGUGAAAUGCCACUCGUGCUGUAAGGUCCUUCUUAAUACCACCUCCUCUAAGGAGCUGUUCACGAUCUUCUGCCCUAAACAUCAUGGUUUCUCUUUCUGGAACCCUUGUGUCACGUCAUGGCCCUGCCAGGCAGUCGCGUGCUUCUUUGUAACACAGCUCAUGCCCCGCCUCGAUCCUGAUGCGCCAAUCAGACGCUGGGCUUCUUCAAGCCGAGAGCCGUCUUCCGCCCACAGUAUCUCCACACAUACACACACACAGGCACAUGUGGUCACACACACAGACACACACACAUACACACACAGGCACACAUACACACACACAAGCACACACACAUAUACACAGAGGCACACAUACACACACAGAGGCACACGUGGGCACACACACAGGCACACACACACAUACACAUACAGGCACACAGGCACACAUAUACACACAGACACACACACAUAGGCACACACCCACACAUACAGGCACACACAUGCACAUAGGCACACACCCACACACACACACAAGCACACACACACAUACACACAGGCACAUAGGCACACAUACAUACACACAGACACACACACAUAGGAACACACCCACACAUACAGGCACACACACACACAUAGGAACACACCCACACCCACACACAGGCACACAGGCACACAUAUACACACAGGCACACACACAUAGGAACACACCCACACAUACACACAAGCACACACACACAUACACACAGGCACACAUACAUACACACAGGCACACACACAUAGGAACACACCCACACAUACACACACAGGCACACAGGCACACAUACAUACACACAGGCACACACACAUAGGAACACACCCACACAUACACACACAGGCACACAGGCACACAUACAUACACACAGGCACACAGGCACACAUACAUACACACAGGCACACACACAUAGGAACACACCCACACAUACACACACAGGCACACAUACAUACACACAGGCACACACACAUAGGAACACACCCACACAUACAGGCACAGACAUGCACAUAGGCACACACCCACACACACACAAGCACACACACAUAUACACACAGGCACCCACACAUACACACACAGGCACACAUAUACACACAGACACACACCCACAGGCACACACCCACACAUACAGGCACACACAUGCACAUAGGCACACACCCACACAUACACACAAGCACACACACAUACACACAGGCAGGCACACACACAACCUAACAGACACACACACAUACACACAGGCACACACACAAGCACACAUACACAACAGGCAUGCACACACAUAUUCACACACAUAUUCACACACAUACACACACACAUGCACAUGAGGGCACUUCAGAAAGCCUGUGGAAAACGGAAUUAUAAGUUUAUUGGGUGCAAAAAAUGUUGAGAUCCAUGCAUAGCUUCUUCACAACCUUUAUUUUUCACAAAGCCCUUGAAGACCCCGGCACAGGGUUAGCUGUUGGUCUGACUUGUCUUGGUAGUCCGGCCUUCUCACUGCCCUGCCCAUGUGCUGGGCUCAUUCCCCUCUGAGGCCUCACAGGGCAGGAGCACUGGGUGUCCAGGGUGCCCGGCCCCGGCCAGCCCUUUGCAGGACAAGCUGACUUAAAACCCUUCUGGGAAGAGGUGGCCAAGGACCCAGACGUGAAUUCUUAACUCCACCUACCUGCGGUCUUGCCCAAUGAUGUUCUGUGACUGAUCUGCCCGCUU
Non-coding RNA from Oryctolagus cuniculus (rabbit), 7756 nucleotides. Lineage: Eukaryota; Metazoa; Chordata; Mammalia; Lagomorpha; Leporidae. The record is from RefSeq and is a predicted model, not a curated record.